Alligator sinensis (Chinese alligator) is the source of this 2163-nucleotide RNA transcript. RefSeq lists it as uncharacterized. Lineage: Eukaryota; Metazoa; Chordata; Crocodylia; Alligatoridae. The transcript has 3 exons. The record is from RefSeq and is a predicted model, not a curated record.
CCUGCUCUUGUGGUAAGUGCAUUUGUGGAACUGGAUGGUUUGGAAACUUGUGUCAGCAUCCAAGGAAGUGUAACAUGACGGAGGAAGAGAGCAGAAGUUUGUGUGAAUCAGCAGAUGGCAUAUUGUGCUCAGGAAAGGGUUCCUGCCACUGUGGAAAGUGCAUCUGUUCACCCCAGGAAUGGUACAUUUCAGGGGAAUUCUGUGAAUGUGAUGACAGAGACUGCGACAAACAUGAUGGGCUCAUUUGCACAGGCAAUGGUGUAUGUAGCUGCGGGAACUGUGAGUGCUGGGAAGGAUGGAAUGGAAAUGCGUGUGAAAUCUGGCUCGGGACAGAAUACCCUUAACUACAACAAAGAACAUCAAGGACUGAGGGUUGUUUCAUGUGUUUUGUUUGUUUGUUUUUUAAGCUGCUAUAACACGUAAAUGCAGGGUGAAAGACAUAGAGCAACCACUAGAAAUACCCAGACUGCAUCUGUAUUUCAGAGCACCCUACCAAGGGCCUGCUUCUGUUCCUAUAGAUGCCCGUGACAAAUCUAACAUUGCUUCAAUGGGAACAGAAUUUGGCCAUAAAAUACUUAAAGCUGUAUUGGAGUUAAUGGGAAUUUUGCUUGUAGUCAAAUGUUUAUAGUCAAAUUAAAAUCGGCCUUAAAUAGUGUUUGAUGGAAGUAGCACAAAAGCAGUUUUUUUGCAUAAUCUACUUUCUUUUUCCAAUUUCAGUGUUGCUACAUAAUAACAUUAAGAAAAAAGCAUAUAGUUGAAUAUUUGGCAAAAACAAUUCUGAUGAAUUUGAUAGUGUUUGUGAAAUAUUUCAUUUGACCUUUGAUUCCCUUCUAUUUAUGCUGAUUAUGUCAGGGCUCCAAUAACAAGAGAAGCUGUAAAUUGCUCAUCAAAACCUUAAUGCUUUUAAUUUUUGUCUGAGAAUCGUAUUUGUCUAACUGAGAUUCAAAUACCUAUGCACCACAUACAGUAGAUCAAUGACAGAAGUUAUGAAACCUGACCCCAUUGCUAGAACAGCACAUUUUUUAAACACAUAAUUUUGUGGCUUCUGUGUCAGUAAGCUGGUUAUUUAGUCUUCAUACGCCAAUACUCUGAAAUGCAUAUUCUUUAAGAUUAUAAAAAAAAUUAAAAACAGAGAAGAUAAACUGUAUGAUUUGCUAUUUUGAAUAAAUAUAUUAACUUGUAUGUACUUUCAUCAUACUGUUUUAUGUAUGUUCACUUUAUCUAGAUCUUAAAAGUAAAGCAAAUGAAAUGUUAACUUUUAGGAUGCCAAUUCUGUAUUCUAUUAGGACUUGCUGCUUAGGAACAGAUUACACUGCCACAUGUGGUAUCCAUUGAAUUUUACUAUUUUUGUGCAAAGUGGGAGUCGAAAGGUCAACUGAAUUGGAAAGUCAGUUAUAUAGUAUGGAAGACGGGAAUCAGCCAAACACACACAGAGGAUGGCAAAAAAGUAUAUAUGUUUUAAAACAGUAAAUACAAACAAUGCAGUGGAAUGAACAAACUUUUUAUUUUUUUCCAAUGGUGAAAUGCUCAGUGUGAAAUUCACAUUGAAUUAUGAAAAAAAUGCACAAGUGUUGGGACUUCCCUAAUUUAUUUACAUUUCCUUUUCUUUUUUGUACAUGUAAAUUUGGCAGCCCUUUAAUUUUUCAGAGCAAAAAAAAUACAUACAUUUUCUUUUCAAAAGUUAGUGAUUACAUCUCAAAAGUAUGACUAAGCAAUAAAAAGACUUCAAUGUUUCUUUUAAUAUCAAACUGUAAUAUUGUGUUGUGAUUUAGGGAUCAUGGUUCAGUCUGUUAGAGAGAUGCAGGACUCAGAAUGAAGGAACCUGGUUUUCAGCUGAAAAAAUGUAUUUCCAUCAUGACACUAGAAAUUUAUUUUCUUAUAGAAAGGACUCAGAUGAAAUAGGAAAAGACAACAGUACAGAGCACGUAAUAGUUAUAAGCAUGAAAACGUUUAAUGCAGUGACUGAAUGGUUUUCAACACAUUUUCAUUCUGUUCCCACUUUUAUUUUGUUCCCAUUCUUUAUCUUACCUGAUCAUCUUUUUUUCUAAAAGAAAAAAGAAGACAAAAAAGAAGAAAAAGAAAUGCUACUUCUCAGGGAGACAACACAGUCACCUCAAAAAGUCUUUGCAUAACACCGACAUAAUGAGAACCCCCCCUUCCCCA